This 803-nucleotide ribosomal RNA is filed under the name uncultured archaeon. Its description in RNAcentral is "bacterial SSU rRNA". It matches the Rfam family "Archaeal small subunit ribosomal RNA", at positions 5 to 811 of the family's 1478-position model. The record is from RNAcentral.
CGGUUGAUCCUGCCGGAGGUCACUGCUAUUGGGAUUCGACUAAGCCAUGCGAGUCGAGAGGGUUCGGCCCUCGGCUGACGGCUCAGUAACACGUGGAUAAUCUGCCCUUAGGUGGAGGAUAAUCUCGGGAAACUGAGGAUAAUACUCCAUAGAUCUAGGAUGCUGGAAUGCAUCUAGAUUGAAAGCUCCGGCGCCUAAGGAUGAGUCUGCGGACUAUCAGGUUGUAGUCAGGGUAAAGACCUGACUAGCCUACGACGGAUACGGGUUGUGAGAGCAAUAACCCGGAGACGAUAUCUGAGACACGAUAUCGGGCCCUACGGGGCGCAGCAGGCGCGAAAACUUCACACUGUGCGAAAGCGCGAUGAGGGAAUCCCAAGUGUUUGCUCGUAAGAGUAAACUGUUUCUUUGUUUAAAACGCAGAGAGAGUAAGGGCUGGGUAAGACGGGUGCCAGCCGCCGCGGUAAUACCUGCAGCUCGAGUGGUGAUCAUUAUUAUUGGGCCUAAAACGUCCGUAGCCGGUUUAGUAAAUGCCUGGGUAAAUCGUGUAGCUUAACUAUACGACUUCCGGGUAGACUGCUAAACUUGAGACCGGGAGAGGCUAGAGGUACUCCUGGGGUAGAGGUGAAAUUCUGUAAUCCUAGGGGGACCACCAGUGGCGAAGGCGUCUAGCUAGAACGGGUCUGACGGUGAGGGACGAAGCCCUGGGGCACAAACCGGAUUAGAUACCCGGGUAGUCCAGGGUGUAAACGCUGCUUGCUUGAUGUUAGUUGGGGCUCCGAGCCCCACCUANUGUCCGANANNAA